UAGCUCAGGGGUUAGAGCACUGCUCUUGUAAACCAAGGAUCGUGAGUUUGAUUCUCAC
RNAcentral lists this transfer RNA (58 nucleotides) under Salmo salar (Atlantic salmon). It matches the Rfam family "tRNA", at positions 8 to 63 of the family's 71-position model. From Rfam's summary of the family: Transfer RNA (tRNA) molecules are approximately 80 nucleotides in length. Their secondary structure includes four short double-helical elements and three loops (D, anti-codon, and T loops). Lineage: Eukaryota; Metazoa; Chordata; Actinopteri; Salmoniformes; Salmonidae. The record is from Rfam by way of RNAcentral.